GUCCAGGAGGCAGAACUCUGGGUGUCUCACCAUGGCCUGGAUCCUUCUACUUCUCCCCCUCCUCACUCUCUGCACAGGCUCUGAGGCCUCCUAUGAGCUGACACAGCCACCUUCAGUGUCAGUGUCCCCAGGACAGACGGCCAGGAUCACCUGCUCUGGAGAUGCAUUGCCAAAGCAAUAUGCUUAUUGGUACCAGCAGAAGCC
RNAcentral lists this long non-coding RNA (204 nucleotides) under Pan troglodytes (chimpanzee). Its description in RNAcentral is "long non-coding RNA NONPTRT009544". The record is from RNAcentral. Lineage: Eukaryota; Metazoa; Chordata; Mammalia; Primates; Hominidae.